CAGCCGCCGCGGGAAUACGUAGGGCGCAAGCGUUGUCCGGAAUUAUUGGGCGUAAAGAGCUCGUAGGCGGUCUGUCGCGUCUGGUGUGAAAUCCCGAGGCUCAACCUCGGGCUUGCAUCGGGUACGGGCAGACUAGAGUGCGGUAGGGGAGACUGGAAUUCCUGGUGUAGCGGUGGAAUGCGCAGAUAUCAGGAGGAACACCGAUGGCGAAGGCAGGUCUCUGGGCCGCAACUGACGCUGAGGAGCGAAAGCAUGGGGAGCGAACAGGAUUAGAUACCCGCGUAGUCCCUGUCUCUUAUAC
RNAcentral lists this ribosomal RNA (301 nucleotides) under uncultured bacterium. Its description in RNAcentral is "partial 16S ribosomal RNA". It matches the Rfam family "Bacterial small subunit ribosomal RNA", at positions 509 to 807 of the family's 1533-position model. The record is from RNAcentral.